Molecule: long non-coding RNA, 316 nt
Filed under: Cricetulus griseus (Chinese hamster)
Lineage: Eukaryota; Metazoa; Chordata; Mammalia; Rodentia; Cricetidae
Description: lncRNA (ENSCGRG00015037623.1)
Source: RNAcentral
GUCGCAGCCCGGUCCUCCAGACAGAUAAGGCCCCAUGUUGCUCAGGUUUGUCUUCAGUUCGUUUGCAGCUAAGGAUGACCUUCAACUCCUGGAGAUCCUCCAAACAUCACAGGCCUUCACCACCACACUUGGUUACCUAUGGUAAUUAUUUUAAUCUUCACCUAAGUGCUGUGAGUUAGGUGCCCUUUGUAUUGCCCUCACUCUGCAAUAAUGAAAUUGAAGCACAGAAUUCAAAAACACACAGGCAGCUCAUGGGUGAGGUUGAGAUCUGGAUCCAGGUAGCCUGAUAACAACACCUUGUUAAUAAACACACUGU